This 255-nucleotide ribosomal RNA is filed under the name uncultured bacterium. RNAcentral's name for it is "partial 16S ribosomal RNA". It matches the Rfam family "Bacterial small subunit ribosomal RNA", at positions 524 to 778 of the family's 1533-position model. The record is from RNAcentral.
UACGUAGGGUGCAAGCGUUGUCCGGAAUUAUUGGGCGUAAAGAGCUCGUAGGCGGUCUGUCGCGUCGGCUGUGAAAACCCGGAGCUCAACUCCGGGCCUGCAGUCGAUACGGGCAGACUGGAGUUCGGCAGGGGAGACUGGAAUUCCUGGUGUAGCGGUGAAAUGCGCAGAUAUCAGGAGGAACACCGGUGGCGAAGGCGGGUCUCUGGGCCGAUACUGACGCUGGGGAGCGAAAGCGUGGGGAGCGAACGAGGA